Long non-coding RNA from Anguilla anguilla (European eel), 3412 nucleotides. RefSeq lists it as uncharacterized. NCBI's taxonomy places the organism in Eukaryota, Metazoa, Chordata, Actinopteri, Anguilliformes, Anguillidae. The record is from RefSeq and is a predicted model, not a curated record. The transcript has 2 exons.
CCCCCCCCCCGUCUUUCCCCACUCCUCUCCCUGCAGCAGAAGCGUCGUUUGUCAACUGGACAGUGUGGUCUGCCGAGGACACGCCCCCUGGGGCUGAAGAUCUGAAGAUGCUAUGGAGAUGCCUGCUGAAAUGCUGAAGACUCCCACCACAGAAAAGAGUCUGGUGACCUCUUAGUCUUUCUCUCUCUCUCUCUCUCUCUCUCUCUAACUCUCCUUCUCUCACCCUCUCUCCUGUCUCUAUCUCAUGCCCUUACCAGCUUGCGUUCGCGUACGAAAGUGCCUCUUCCACAGCUGAGCCUGUAUAAGCUAAACUCUGUCCAACCCACACUGACAUGAUCUGCCUCCCCUAGUUGUGUAAUAGGCUAACACACAAAUGAUAAGAUUCAUGUAAUAGUGCAGAUAUUUUAAACAUAUUUAUUGUGUUACUGGAAAUAGGAAGCAAAGGGUUAUCCGCUGCUGUUCUGGCUACUGGAUGCAUCUACUUUAAUGUAACCAAAGACCUCUGUCUUAUUUGGUUUCAGUUUUCAUUGUGAUCAGGAGUGGUUCAGUGGGGUGGGCUGAUGUGCAUCAGGGCAAGGCACGUAACACACCUGAGAGCAAAAAUGCUGACUGAUCACCAGAGCAGUUCCCGCUGUUCAGUCUUGUUGCCAGGAUAUUUUUCAGCAGGUGUCAGCAAGUUUGCCAUCAAAGCCACUGAUGUUGAAUAAGAUAUUUGUGCAAACUGAAAAUUGCUCUUUUGUUUCUAAAAAGUGAGAUAAAUGUAAGGAAUGUAUGGAAUCACACAGCUCUGGUCAUCAGGUGCACUCAUGCCACCUGGCCGAGCUUUUCCAGGGUGCUGUGCGGCCUACUUCCUGUCAGGACAGGAAGUUGUAAACUGCCUGAAGGCUGUCUCUGUGCCCACACCUAACUGCCUUUUCUCAUGCUGGACUGUCCAUGGGUUGAGGCUUUCCCUACCGCAGCAAACGACAACUAAACUAUAUAAAUGCAGUCCAUUUACCAUUUAAACUAGUGUACAUUUUUAUUAAGGCUUAUUCCACUGUUUCAACUUGUUUUCAUUUAGUUUUUUUACGACUCCUGUAAUUUUUGCCCCAUUCAUUCAUCUUCGAUGUGAAAAAGGUUUUUUUUCCAUUUUAUAUUCACAUUAGGGAUUAUUUGUUUUUUUUUUUUGUUUUUUGGAAUAUCUGACUCCACAUCAAAGAGACUGAGUUGCUGUCCGCAGUGCAGUGCAGUUGUCCGUGUCAUGGAAAUGCGAAAACAGAUGCUACACUCCGGUCCCCUUGCUAUUUUAGCCGUGAACUCCAUAUAGUUCCUUUUGCAGUGAAGCCAACGAUAUGCAACAUAAAAAUAUACGAAGGGGAUGUGUGUGGCUGCGACGUUCAGUCCACACGAACGCGUUGGGUAGUAGGGGUUAGUUAAUGGUGGACGGUCGCAGGGGAUGUAGCUCACAGUGACCCUGAGGAAUCCUCCCGAUGAUGUCAUCUAAUUGGAAGGCUCGAUGUGGUCAAACAUCUGCCCACCAGGCUCAACACUAACCUCGGCUAGGCCUGUUACGUGUGCAGUCUCAACUGGAAAUAAAAAAAAAAAAUCUCCAGUGCAACAUUGCCGCACCAGAUGGCCCCCCAGUCCAGGAUUAUAGAGCAGAUUUGCGUAAGAAGUAAAAAAAAAAAAAAAAUUAAUUUGCCAGUAGGCCAUAAUCCAGACAUGAUGAGCACAGGGGGAGGCGUAAGCAGACGUCACUGAUGAUGUCAGAAGGAAUUCGCUCUUCGCGGUGAUGUAGAGCACGGCUGGAUUCGUCUGACUGCGGUUAUGCAAGCCCCUCCCCCUCCCCAGAGUUUUUGAUUGAGGAGAUUUUUUGAUAUUCUCCCUCAGCUCAGGGGUAUGACGUCUGUUAGUUCAGUCUGCGAGAAGUAGACCGUAAUCCUCCUUCUGUCACCAGACGAUACCGUAACUGUGAUGUCACGGUACCAGCAGGCCAGGUGUGUGUACAGGGCAGGGGUACUGGACUCUGUGUGGAGCUGGGCUCAGAUUGACUCUGUGUUGUGGUCUUAAGGGAUCUGAUCUGUGAAGAGAGGUCGGUUUGGUGCCUGCCAUUUGCUGCUGGUGUGAAAUCCUAGUCUGCCACUACAGGUAUUUGUCAGGCAUACCAUAUGUCAUGUUCUUUCAUAUGCAGUUAACUGCUUAGGAAUGCUGCUCAGAUCCAGUCCACGGUGCACUUUGUUUAAUUUUUUGGUUUUUGUUUUGUUUUUUUAUUGGCGAUGUAAGCUUUUUUUCCCCCGUUCUGGCAGAAUAUUCUUCUUUAAGCCACCCCUGAACUCUUGACAAUGAAGAUAUAUCAGGGAAAAACCAACUCUUAUUACAUUAUUAUUAUACUCAAAAAAAGGACCAUUUACACCUCCGUCAGACUUUCAAUCAGGACUGAAUAAAUGUAGCCAAGAUCUGGAUUUGCUCUAGCAAGAAAUGUCAGUGUAACGUCUGACCGAUAUACUCUAGUUUUGUAAACUGUAAACUGGUGAAGACCUGCCAGAGCAGUAUAUCAACCGGAUGCACCAAAUUCACAGGUGUAUCCAGUGUCUCCGUAGAAAGAACGUAAAACACUCUUAUGAAGUCAUCCUACCUGCAGUCUCCUUCCCAUCCUGUAAUUGAUUCACUAAAAUAUUUUAAUGGCAUAAUUUUCCAUCUCUGAGCUUGAAGGUCACUACGCUAAUUACUUUUAUUGUAUUACAACUUGCCUCUUUUUGAGGUCUGCUUUUCAAUACAUUAGAAUAAAUAAUUUACUGGGACUUAAAUACUUGAAAUAUGUUUUUAAACUGCUGAACCACAGUUUCAGUUUUUAAUCUACACUGUAGAUACCAGAAUGCCUGUAGGUUGUAAAAAAAUUAUAACUUUUACUUGUCCACUAGCUGUAUGCUGUCCAUGUUUCAUUUUUAGCAUUUUUCUUGUUUUGCUGAAGUGUUUGUGUAGCAUUUUUUAAAUUGUAUGUCAUACAUUUUGUAUGCUGUAAGAAUGUUGUGAUUAUUAUUAUUAUUAUUAUUAUUAUUAUUAUUGUUAUCAUCAAUCAUGCAUUGUGUAUUUAAGAAUUGUUUAAGAACCCAUAACUAAAAGAACCAACAACUUAAUUUAUUUAUGUUAAUUCAUUCAAAUUUACUUGAACAUUGCAGUAUGUUGAUAUUAUGUUUAUUUUUUUGUUUGAUUGUUUUUUAAAAAUCCUUGUUCCUUUGUUGCAUUAUGCUUGAUUGGCGAUGUGGUGUACUGACUUGUGUCCUCCUUUUUCAAUAUGAUGGUUCCCUCCUUGCACUGGCUUCGCUCGAACCGCCUUCUGUAAUGGAAGACAUGUAAUGGCUUUGUGGCACAAGUGACAAUGAAUAAUUAAAUGAGGAAAAAAAUAAAAUUUGAAUGAAGAUUUUAAAUACAA